GGGAAGAUACUCAAGCGGCCAACGAGGGCGGACUGUAAAUCCGCUGGUAACACCUUCGCAGGUUCGAAUCCUGCUCUUCCCA
Molecule: transfer RNA, 82 nt
Filed under: Bacteroidota bacterium
Lineage: Bacteria; Pseudomonadati; Bacteroidota
Description: tRNA-Tyr
Rfam family: tRNA
About the family: Transfer RNA (tRNA) molecules are approximately 80 nucleotides in length. Their secondary structure includes four short double-helical elements and three loops (D, anti-codon, and T loops).
Source: RNAcentral